GAGGGAAAGGCGAAAAGAACCCCGGCGAGGGGAGUGAAAAAGAACCUGAAACCGUGUACGUACAAGCAGUGGGAGCCCCACCACUAAGCCAGUGGUGAACUCCACAUACGCAUCCUUUGCUGAGGAUGCGGUUAACGGAGCGAAAGCGACGUUCAACCGCAAAAGAAGCAGAGGGGGCUUAGUGGUGGGGUGACUGCGUACCUUUUGUAUAAUGGGUCAGCGACUUAUAUUCUGUAGCAAGGUUAACCGAAUAGGGGAGCCGGAGGGAAACCGAGUCUUAACCGGGCGUUAAGUUGCAGGGUAUAGACCCGAAACC
RNAcentral lists this ribosomal RNA (316 nucleotides) under Salmonella enterica subsp. enterica serovar Oranienburg. RNAcentral's name for it is "bacterial LSU rRNA". It matches the Rfam family "Bacterial large subunit ribosomal RNA", at positions 505 to 722 of the family's 2925-position model. The record is from RNAcentral. Lineage: Bacteria; Pseudomonadati; Pseudomonadota; Gammaproteobacteria; Enterobacterales; Enterobacteriaceae.